This 253-nucleotide ribosomal RNA is filed under the name uncultured bacterium. Its description in RNAcentral is "partial 16S ribosomal RNA". It matches the Rfam family "Bacterial small subunit ribosomal RNA", at positions 524 to 776 of the family's 1533-position model. The record is from RNAcentral.
UACGGAGGGUGCAAGCGUUAUCCGGAUUCACUGGGUUUAAAGGGUGCGUAGGUGGUUUGGUAAGUCCGUGGUGAAAUCCCCGAGCUUAACUUGGGAACUGCCAUGGAUACUAUUAAUCUUGAAUGUCGUGGAGAUGAGCGGAAUAUGUCAUGUAGCGGUGAAAUGCUUAGAUAUGACAUAGAACACCAAUUGCGAAGGCAGCUCGUUACGCGAAUAUUGACACUGAUGCACGAAAGCGUGGGGAUCAAACAGG